Oncorhynchus keta (chum salmon) is the source of this 339-nucleotide long non-coding RNA. RefSeq lists it as uncharacterized. NCBI's taxonomy places the organism in Eukaryota, Metazoa, Chordata, Actinopteri, Salmoniformes, Salmonidae. The transcript has 3 exons. The record is from RefSeq and is a predicted model, not a curated record.
UUACCAUCUCACAAUUUAAAGAAGCAGUGGGGCAUGUUGAGCUUGUGUGGAGAUAAAAAAUGUCAAAGGGGCAGAGGUUCAUGUUGUGAGGAUCUGAGAGAUAGUUGAGAGCUCAAUGAAAAAUGUUGGGUGCCCAGAAAGUGGAAUUGAGAGCUAGAAAUUAAGUGGUAUCUAACCAGUAGCCACAUUGCAACAUGGCAGAAUCGCAGCUGGCACUUCUUUUCAGAGAAUUUGGCAGUAUGUAAAACCAGCCUCACAACCGCAGACCAUGUGUUACCAUGCCAGCCCAGGACCUCCACAUGCAACUUCUUCACCUGCAGGAUCAUCUGAGACCAGUCA